CAAAACCCCAAGAACCAGGGGGGGGGGACGGUGGGGAACCAGGAGCCUGCAUAGGAAUCUAGAACACAGUGGGCUCAUAAACCCAAGACAGACUGCAUUCCCAGCUCCCUUUGAAUUUGGGUCCCUGGACACCAGGCACCCAUUCCUGCCUGUCUGCCGCUUACCAUUUCCAGCUGCAUAGGAAGCAAGCCGGGAACAGAAGGAACAGAACCACAGAUCUGUAGUAGAGGCCCUAUACAUUGAACACUUUGGAAAGUCCAUAGAAAAUAAUAGUGUUGAAGAGGAAAGAGAUGAGAAUUUUCCUCAAACUCCUGAAACUCCUUCAUUUCUAAGAACUCCUGAAGCGCUGAAGACACCUGAAUCUAUGGAGAAAAUGCAGUUCCCUAAAAGCCCCUUCUUUGAAAUAACUAAAAAUGCAACAUCUGAAGGACAUAAACAAAAGGAUUCUCCUGGAUUUUCAUUUCUUAUGAGUUACACCUCUAGAUCACCUGGACUAAAUUUAUUUGAUUCUUCUGUAUCUGAUUCAGAAAUCUCAUCGGAUCAGUUUAAUGAACAUUACUCUGCGGUAAAUCUAAAUCCUUCUUCAUCACAACAAGGAAUUGGAAACUUAUUUGGAAAAUCAGAAGGAGAAGAUGCCUUCACAUUUUCUUUUUCAUCAGACUCUUCUCACACAUUUGGAGCUGGAAAAGAUGACUUUAGUUUUCCAUUUUCUUUUGAACAGGAUCCAAGCACAAUGACUUCUUCUUCCUCAAAAGAUUUUUCAUCCUCACAAAAUAAAACACAAUUUAUGUUUUUUUGAGUUAUUAUUUUUGAACUAUUUAAUGCUAUUUAACUAUUUGAACUAUUUAAUAUCUGUAAAAUUUUGUAUUAUCACUGAAUGUAAGAUAUAUUUUUGUCAAUUAAAGUAGAAAUUGUUCCUAUAGUUG
This 926-nucleotide unclassified non-coding RNA is filed under the name Mus musculus (house mouse). RNAcentral describes it as "Six6 antisense transcript isoform Six6OS3". The record is from RNAcentral. Lineage: Eukaryota; Metazoa; Chordata; Mammalia; Rodentia; Muridae.